Molecule: long non-coding RNA, 4430 nt
Filed under: Mytilus galloprovincialis (Mediterranean mussel)
Lineage: Eukaryota; Metazoa; Mollusca; Bivalvia; Mytilida; Mytilidae
Source: RNAcentral
AAAUUGAAAAGCCAAAAUAAUCAUUGAUGAGAGAUUUAACCAAAAAAAUUAAGGUGAGCGAUUCAGGCUCUUGAGAGCCUCUUGUUUUGAAAGUUUAAGAAUGAGGUAGGUUUCUUCUUACAGAACAUGUCAACUUCAAUGUCAUUUGGUCCUUGGUGGAGAGUUGUCUCAUUGGCAUUCAUACCACAUCUUUUUAUUUUAAUGUGUAUAGAAAUUCUAAAAUAAAGAUUUCAAACUUAAGAAAGCUCAGUUAGCAACAAUAGGAGGAUAGAACAAACCCCUGAUAAAUAAAUGUUGCAUUAUUUUUCAAAACUAUUAAAAAACAAGAUAUAAAGCAAUGUUGGCAUUUAUAUCACUGUGUCAGUCAAUUUUGUAAAUAUUACAUGUUUAGUGCCACACUUAUCAUAAUGCUGUAUUAGCUGACAGUAUAUAUUUAAACUUAGUGCUGUUACCUCACCUGAAUUAAGGACUAUUUGAGGAUUAUCAUGUGUCAUCUAUUCGACUAUCAUUUGUUUACAUUCAAUAUUAUUAAUGUCAUCUUAUGAAUGGUACUUUUUUGGCAUGGAAGAACUAGAAAAUGGAAAAAGGGUAUCUGUCAAAAUUUAGGUCUUAAAAAAAGUCUAAUGAAAAUUAGUUAAUUACACUAUUUAGUACAAUCAAAUUUUAAAAGUUUCAUACUGACAACUUCCUGGUUAUUAACAGUUUCUACAUGACACUUUAACUUGUGUGUUCCAGAACUGUGUAUGUAAAUACUUUUGACAGAAGGUGAUAUUUAGUAAUGUUGGAAAUAAAAUUUAAGAUUGUUGCAGCAGAAUAAAAUUUUUAAUGCAAUGUAAUUCAUCUGGCACGAAAAAUGCCUGUUUUGGUAUAAUAUUUUGUUUAUUUAUACAUGCAAGCCUAUGUAUUUACUUGAUAUUAAAUUGUAUAUAAUAUUCAUUUAUGCCAUCUAUUGUACAUUUUUCAAGAUGAGAUUGUCAAUAUUAUUAUUGGGCUUUGACCUUUUACUUUGUUUGAGGUCAUAUGCAAUGUUCUUGAUGCAUUUGAAAAUACUGAGAACGGAAAGUAGGUUAUGGAAAACUAUUUUUUUUCUAAAAAAAAAUGUAUGCUGAAUAUAUAUAUCUACAUAUUACUUCUUUAUAACAAAUUCUUCAAAAUAAAUUUUCAUUGAUAUUUGUAGGCUGUAUUUUAAUUAUAAUUGAAAAAAAAGUUACAUUGAAGACCUUCUAUUAAUGGAGAUAAAUAGCAAUUUUUUCAAUAUCCAUUUAUUUUAUUUGAUCUGAAAUGUAAAUCAUAAAUUGGAGUGCAUUCAGCAAUUUUGUCAAUUAACUAACAAAAAUAUAUGUAUAACUCGACCUUAAAUAAGACAAAGAAACAAAAUGUUAUAGUAUAGUUUAAUAACCUGUCUGUCUGUUUGAUAUCUCUAUGUGUAAUUUUAGUUUAAGAAAAAUAUGAUGUUGUAUGGUAGUUGCUACUGUCUUUUGUUUAUGUUUAUGACAGCAAUACAUUUAUUAAUGGUUUUCACUUGUUUAUUGAAGAGACAAGUGUACUCAGGAUAUUUUAAUUCAGAAAUCUAUUCAAAAGUACAAAAUACAAUUACUGUCAACUUAGUUCCACUGAAAACUUUGUUAUAAACAAUGUCCUGUUGGAAUAAAUAUUCUAUACCAUUUAUUCCGUUAGGAACAUUUACCGAAAUAAUUCCAGUGGAAAUAAUAUUCCAAAAUAUUAUUUCCAUUUGGAACUUAUAUUAUGAAGAAACUUCUAUUCUGUGACAUUACAAAUGUAUAGAUGUUAAAAUUUCAACCAAUGUAUUUACUAACUGUCUGUAUAAGGUGAGAUGAAAACAGCAAUUUUUGUACAGUUAAACUUUGUGUAGAAACAGCUUAAAUGGUGAUAAUAUGUGCUUCCAUCUGACAAUUAUAGGCGAAAAUACAUCAGUCAGUAUUGUUCUGUGAUAUAUCAUGUGAUAUAAGUAUGCCACCUGUUGUAGUCAUGUGACCUUCAUUGCAAUUCAUCCAUUCUGUAGUCAUGUGACCUUCAUUGCAAUUAAUCAAUGUUGUAGUCAUGUGACCUUCAUUGCAAAUCAUCCAUGUUGUAGUCAUGUGACCUUCAUUGCAAAUCAUCCAUGUUAAAGUCAUGUGACCUUCAUUGCAAAUCAUCCAUGCUGUAUUAUAGGUUGUCAAAAGUUUUAUUUUGUGAAAUAUAAGUAUAUUGUCAUCUCAGAGACGGCAUUAAAACUUUUAAUGACCACAACAUUUUAUGUUAAACUGCAAUAUAUAAAAUAAAAAAAAUUGGUCAUGUAAAGAUUGAUUAUUUUAUAUGUUGAGGAAUACAUGUAAUAAAAGUGGUAUAGAAGUUAAAAUUUUGAAAUCUAUCCAUAAAUAAUUCUUCAUCUAUAGAAAUGAAUUUUCUUGAAGUAAACUAAUACAACGAUAUGUUUCUUACAGAACCAUUAAAGAACAUUGAAGGUCAAAAACUAGUAUGGAAUAAUCAAAGUUAACAUUAUCAGAGGCACACUUGAAUUCGACGUAUUAUUUCAUUGAUUAUGUCCUAUAUUCUCAAACUUGGAAACCUUGAUAUUUUUUAUAGGACAUCAUAACACUGCCACAGAAAGCUUAUACAUUUUUUUUUGUCAAAAAUGUACUGAAUAACUGUAUGCAUGCUCUUUUUUACCUCAUUUAUAGAAAAUGCAUAAUGUACACAUUGUCAUAAUUAUUUUUAUUUCAUUAUGUAGAUACUCUUAAGGAUAACACUUGCUUUUAACUGGACAAUAAUACUUGACCAUAGCAAACACUUAAUACUACAUAUUUGAAUACAUGACUUUUAAAAAACUGAAGUCCAUAAUGCCAUUUUCAAUUCUAAUUCAGACAUGCAAGAAUUUUUAAUUAUAUGUAUAUUGUCUUACCCAUUGUCAAAUAAACUUGAUGUUUCUUGGUUUUACAUUGUAUUAAUAAAGGUAUUUUAUAGAGACAGUUAUCAGUAAUGAACAUUUUUAAAGUAAACCUUUGUAAGAGAUCCAACUUGAUUUACCUUGUUCUGUGAAGUAUUAUACUGACUUACCAAAUCAUUCAAGUGAAUGAUUAUUUUAAACAAUAAAAGGAUGUGAUUUGACAUUGUAUGUACCUAGAUAUUGAAUGUACCAUUGUAAACUUUCCAACUUUAUACAAUUAUGAGUAGACCUCAAAUAAACAAUUAGUUUAUAAAAAUCUUAAAUUACUUCCUAUUGACCUUUCUGGUCUUUUUAUGUGAUAUAUGGCUACUGUGUGGAUCUUAAAAAAACUUAGAAGAUGGUAUGGAUGGGAGUGUGGAUCUUCUUUUCUUUAACUUUUGUUCUUCUUUAUUCUAUAUUCUAUAUUCUUUUUGACUAUAUUCUAUAUAUUUUUUUUUUGUUCUCUCGUUCACCUAUUCUAUAUUCUUCAUAUUCAAUCACUCAUUAUUCUUUUUUUGUCCAUUUUUCUCUUUUCUUUAUUUUUUGCCCUUUAAUCUAUCUGUAUAAAAACCCUAUCUAUUCCUCUUCUAUGUUAAAUCCAGUUUGAAAUUGACCAACAUUUUAAAGUAUUUCAUUUUAGAAAGGCAAGUAGUCAAAGAAUGGAAAAGAAGUCAUCUUUUAAAUAUCCUAAAUACAGGUCAUUCUAAAUUUUAAAAAAUGAAGAUUUGAAUUACAUUUCUGUUAAAGGUAUAUACACAACUAGCUUAAUAUAAUCCUAUAAUAAUGUACAGUGUUUAUAAACUUGUAGAAAAUCAUUUGAUGUUAGAUAUUAUUAAUAGGUAUAACAUUUAUGAUAAACCCAGGCAAUCAACACAAAGUAAGAUUACAUCCCCUUUUUUCAUAUUUAGAGAAAUAGUACACAUAAUCAUAGAAAGAUAGUCAUUUUUUUCUCCCAAUUUGGAAUCAAUUGCCAAUUUAAUCAAAAAUGCAUUACAGUUUAGAUAGAAGUUCAAAUAAUUUCAAAUUCUAUCUUUAAUGAAUAUCAAUUACAUGUUCCCUUGUGAAAUAAGUAACUACUUAUGCAUUUACUUUUGAUAAAGGAAAUUAAGUUUGACUAACCAUUUAACAUGAACACAUGCAUGCCACAUAGUUUUAAUGUAUAUUUCAGAAAUAUAAAAAAUCUUAUUUAUCUGAAGCAUGAAUUCUUUUCCAAUUAACUCUUAAAAAGUUAUCUUGAACAAAUUGUUAAUUGUGACAUUAGAGGUCAGAUUUGCAUGUUUAUGAACUCUCUAACUAUAAUAUCUCAUCUGAAGAAUGAAACACCAAUUUUCCACAGUUAAUGCUUUAUAUAUUGUUAUAUUUAAGAGGUAUGUUAUCAAAUACAUUUGACUCAUUAUGUUGUAGUUUAUAACUCAUGUUGGUCUUGAUGAAUUAUUUUUUAGCAAUUUAUUUAAAAUAUACAUACACAAAAAUGUGUAUCUGAAAUUUGUAAACAAUAAAACAG